UACGUAGGGGGCAAGCGUUAUCCGGAUUUACUGGGUGUAAAGGGAGCGUAGACGGUUAUGCAAGUCUGAAGUGAAAGCCCAAGGCUCAACCAUGGGACUGCUUUGGAAACUGUAAAACUGGAGUGCAGGAGAGGUAAGCGGAAUUCCUAGUGUAGCGGUGAAAUGCGUAGAUAUUAGGAGGAACACCAGUGGCGAAGGCGGCUUACUGGACUGCAACUGACGUUGAGGCUCGAAGGCGUGGGGAGCAAACAGG
This 253-nucleotide ribosomal RNA is filed under the name uncultured bacterium. RNAcentral describes it as "partial 16S ribosomal RNA". It matches the Rfam family "Bacterial small subunit ribosomal RNA", at positions 524 to 776 of the family's 1533-position model. The record is from RNAcentral.